This 425-nucleotide ribosomal RNA is filed under the name uncultured bacterium. RNAcentral's name for it is "partial 16S ribosomal RNA". It matches the Rfam family "Bacterial small subunit ribosomal RNA", at positions 354 to 796 of the family's 1533-position model. The record is from RNAcentral.
GUGGGGAAUAUUGGACAAUGGGCGCAAGCCUGAUCCAGCCAUGCCGCGUGAGUGAUGAAGGCCUUAGGGUUGUAAAGCUCUUUCAGUGGGGACGAUAAUGACGGUACCCACAGAAGAAGCCCCGGCUAACUUCGUGCCAGCAGCCGCGGUAAUACGAAGGGGGCUAGCGUUGUUCGGAUUUACUGGGCGUAAAGCGCACGUAGGCGGAUCGUUAAGUCGGGGGUGAAAACCUGGAGCUCAACUCCAGAACUGCCUUCGAUACUGGCGAUCUUGAGUCCGGAAGAGGUGAGUGGAACUCCUAGUGUAGAGGUGGAAUUCGUAGAUAUUAGGAAGAACACCAGUGGCGAAGGCGGCUCACUGGUCCGGUACUGACGCUGAGGUGCGAAAGCGUGGGGAGCAAACAGGAUUAGAAACCCGGGUAGUCC